Molecule: microRNA, 22 nt
Filed under: Mus musculus (house mouse)
Lineage: Eukaryota; Metazoa; Chordata; Mammalia; Rodentia; Muridae
Also listed under: 1 other name
Description: mmu-miR-1912-3p
Source: miRBase by way of RNAcentral
CACAGAACAUGCAGUGAGAACU